This is a long non-coding RNA of Schistocerca cancellata (South American locust), 961 nucleotides long. RefSeq lists it as uncharacterized. NCBI's taxonomy places the organism in Eukaryota, Metazoa, Arthropoda, Insecta, Orthoptera, Acrididae. The transcript is spliced from 2 exons. The record is from RefSeq and is a predicted model, not a curated record.
CCCCUCAUCUGGGAACUGGGAACGUCUCAUACCAGACGAGUCUAACUACAAAUGUUUUUGUGGUAGAGUAAUUAUGGUGUAUGCGUACGUGGAGACAGUGUUUGUGAAGCAAUCGCUGACAUAGUGUAACUGAGGCGGAAUAAGGGGAACCAACACGCAUUCGCCGAGAUAGAUGUAAAACAGCCUUAAAAACCAUCCACAGGCUGGCCGGCACACCGUACCUCGACACUAAUCCUCUGGGUGGAUUCGUGCCGGGGAUCAGCACGCCAGCGCGUUAGACCGCGUGGCUAGCCAGGUGGGCUAUACAUACUUUAUUAUCUCUUAUUUGUGAAUGUGUGUGACAGUGAAACCCUGGUGAAAUGGUACAUUCAUAUGUGAAUAGUUAAAUAUGAAAUUAAAUAUUUUAGCUGUAUGUCUGUCAUCGUCAAUCUCAAUGCUAGAAUAGUGUAAGAGAGACAGCAUCCGUCUGUUGAGUUUCUAAUUUUUCACACAGAUCCUACAAUGAAAGAUACUGCAGGCUUCAGAUACAGUCCUUGUCGUAGUUUCAUGUACUACCGUUAAGUUUUCUACAUCUUUUUCGUUGUCAGAGAGUAAUAGCCUUAGUUUAUACAAGAUUCUCCGUAUAUGGUACACCAAGGUGGGUCUUUGCCACUCUCUAUUGUGGUACUGAGUACGUCUAUUGUCUAGACAAUGGUUGAUUAUUUCUUUGAGCUUUAACCACAAUUCUUCUGCGUUUGUCGAAUUUGAAACAGACGUCAUCAGACACAAAAUCUAAGAUCGUAAAAUUUCAGACACUUUCUGUUCUCCUAGUUAUGCUCUUUAAGUCAGACGUCUGGGUAUCAAGGACGUAUUUCUUCACAGAUACUAUUUUGUAUUCCCACCCUUAAGCCAUUUACCAGCUAUAUUCUGCAACGACCAGGAUAAAGAAAGAGAGAUCUGACUCAAAAUUUCUGCAACUAUU